GCUUGCUGAUGGUGUUGGUGAGGCUGCUCAGGUUUAUUCUGAGUUAGUCCGCCUUGGUGCUGGCAUGAAAUUCAUUGAUAUUGGUGGUGGGCUUGGAAUUGAUUAUGAUGGUACCAAAUCUUCCGAUUCUGAUGUUUCCGUCGGAUAUGGCCUUCAGGAUUACGCCUCUACAGUGGUUCAAGCUGUCCGGUUUGUUUGUGACCGGAAGAACGUGAAGCAUCCGGUGAUCUGUAGCGAAAGUGGCAGAGCAAUUGUAUCUCAUCACUCUGUUCUGAUAUUUGAAGCUGUGUCUUCAACUACCACGCGUUCUCAAGAGCUGUCCUCUAUGAGUCUCCACUCCUUCGUGGAGAAACUCAAUGAUGACGCUCGUGGCGAUUACCGGAAUCUAUCUGCUGCUGCUAUUCGCGGAGAGUACGAUACCUGUAUGCUUUAUGCCGAUCAGUUGAAACAGAGGUGUGUGGAUCAGUUCAAAGAUGGUAAUCUGGACAUUGAACAGCUUGCUGCCGUAGAUGCCGUCUGUGACUUUGUGUCAAAAGCUAUUGGUGCUUCUGACCCUGUUCGCACCUAUCAUGUGAAUCUGUCCGUUUUCACUUCAAUUCCUGAUUUCUGG
Molecule: unclassified non-coding RNA, 610 nt
Filed under: Hevea brasiliensis (rubber tree)
Lineage: Eukaryota; Viridiplantae; Streptophyta; Magnoliopsida; Malpighiales; Euphorbiaceae
Source: RNAcentral